AUGCACGCUGGCGGCGUGCCUAAUACAUGCAAGUCGAGCGAACGGACGAGAAGCUUGCUUUUCUGAUGUUAGCGGCGGACGGGUGAGUAACACGUGGAUAACCUACCUAUAAGACUGGGAUAACUUCGGGAAACCGGAGCUAAUACCGGAUAAUAUUUUGAACCGCAUGGUUCAAAAGUGAAAGACGGUCUUGCUGUCACUUAUAGAUGGAUCCGCGCUGCAUUAGCUAGUUGGUAAGGUAACGGCUUACCAAGGCAACGAUGCAUAGCCGACCUGAGAGGGUGAUCGGCCACACUGGAACUGAGACACGGUCCAGACUCCUACGGGAGGCAGCAGUAGGGAAUCUUCCGCAAUGGGCGAAAGCCUGACGGAGCAACGCCGCGUGAGUGAUGAAGGUCUUCGGAUCGUAAAACUCUGUUAUUAGGGAAGAACAUAUGUGUAAGUAACUGUGCACAUCUUGACGGUACCUAAGCAGAAAGCCACGGCUAACUACGU
This 495-nucleotide ribosomal RNA is filed under the name uncultured bacterium. RNAcentral describes it as "partial 16S ribosomal RNA". It matches the Rfam family "Bacterial small subunit ribosomal RNA", at positions 29 to 506 of the family's 1533-position model. The record is from RNAcentral.